CGCAGCUCGAGUAGCGUGCGGUGUGUGGCCCGGGAUGGGGUAAAGCCCUCCUGACGUCUUGGAGGGGAUGGAGAGCUUCCAGAAGACACUGGGGCUGGAGGACACGGCUAAAAUGUGCAAAAUUGUCAAGGCAGGAGGUAAAGUGAUUGGGAACUGCAUCCAUUUCUCCAAAUGUCCAAGGCCAGAAGUCUUGCUGAUGGCUGCAAACAAGGUCAAAAUAACCAUUCUGGGUAAUAAGAGAGCUCCAUCAACUUGCUGCAUAAUUCCCUUCUGUCAGACUGACUUCGUAGGCUUGGAUUUUGUUGCCUGCCUCUCCACCAGAUUAAAAGACCCCUGCAAGUGAAGUCUACGAGCAGUGAAGAAAAAGUCCCAUGCUUUCAAGGAAAAAAUGAGAAAUUCAGGUGCUAAAAAAUGGAAAAUCUCCAGCAAUACCUGUGUUUACCUCUUGUCUCUCUAGAGAUGCCUUUACUGUCUCAUUAUAUGCUCCAGGAUUGUGUUUACUUGGGAGAAUUGGGGGAAAUAGGCAGAACUGAGUGGUGAUGGGACCCUGGUCUUAUGCAGCCAUGUGUCUCUACAUGGAAGGCAUUAGAAAGAGGUGGGUCUACGGCGUAUUCUCUCAGACCUUGGGAAAGAAGCCUGGGAGCUUCACAUCCCUCUGUUUGAAGAGGAGAUGGGAAACAGCACAGACCACUCCGUCUUAAGGCUUUCCCAUCACACUGAUUUUAUUUGUGUUUUGAGAUAACUCAAGGAUCGCCGUGGCUUGCUUACAGAACCGUGGUGGUGCUGGGAAUCUCAGGGAGGGUCAGGGCAGGCAGUUUGCUUUGGCAGGCACGGUGUGAGCGCAUGGGGUGAAGGCUGACCACCUCCUUCGCUCCUCACUGACGGGUUGGCCAUUUUCCUUGGGUGGUGGCCAGCCAUUACUGCUAGAUUCACAUUACAGGGCUGCAUUUGCACUCUUCUACAUCAUCCCAGGCAUCCAGAUGUGUGACAGACGUGCACGCAUGCACUGCGCUGCGGAUGCUGUAUUUUGGCUGCAGCUGAGGUAAAUAUUAUUUCUGUAUCAUGAGGAGGAUGAAAUAAUACCUCUGGAGGAUUUGGAAGAAAGAUGGAGGAGACUUAGUUUAUCGUGGUCUGCCCAUAGCUUUUUUCACUUGAGCACAUUGUCGUGCAACAAGAAAUAAAGCAGGAGAAGAAAAUGCA
Molecule: long non-coding RNA, 1200 nt
Organism: Chrysolophus pictus (golden pheasant)
Lineage: Eukaryota; Metazoa; Chordata; Aves; Galliformes; Phasianidae
Source: Ensembl